GUGCUCACUUCAGCAGCACCUAUACUAAAAUUGGAACGAUACAGAGAAGAAUAUCAUGGCCCCUGAAUAAGGAUGACAUGCAGAUUUGUUAAAUGCUCCAUAUUUUU
RNAcentral lists this small nuclear RNA (107 nucleotides) under Erinaceus europaeus (western European hedgehog). Lineage: Eukaryota; Metazoa; Chordata; Mammalia; Eulipotyphla; Erinaceidae. The record is from RNAcentral.